RNAcentral lists this ribosomal RNA (407 nucleotides) under uncultured bacterium. RNAcentral's name for it is "partial 16S ribosomal RNA". It matches the Rfam family "Bacterial small subunit ribosomal RNA", at positions 30 to 526 of the family's 1533-position model. The record is from RNAcentral.
AUUGAACGCUGGCGGCAGGCCUAACACAUGCAAGUCGAGCGGAGCGGCGGACGGGUGAGUAAUGCCUAGGAAUCUGCCUGGUAGUGGGGGAUAACGUCCGGAAACGGGCGCUAAUACCGCAUACUAUCAGAUGAGCCUAGGGCGGAUUAGCUAGUGGGGGGGGUAAAGGCCUACCAAGGCGACGAUCCGUAACUGGUCUGAGAGGAUGAUCAGUCACACUGGAACUGAAAUACGGUCCAGCCUCCAACGGGAGGCAGCAGUGGGGAGUAUUGGAAAAUGGGCGAAAGCCUAAUCCAGCUAUGCCGCGUGUGUGAAGAAGGUCUUCGGAUUGAAAAGCACUUUAAGUUGGGAGGCGUUUCCAACAGAAUAAGCACCGGCUAACGUCGUGCCAGCAGCCGCGGUAAUUC